Molecule: ribosomal RNA, 255 nt
Filed under: uncultured soil bacterium
Lineage: Bacteria
Description: partial 16S ribosomal RNA
Rfam family: Bacterial small subunit ribosomal RNA
Source: RNAcentral
AGGACGAACGCUGGCGGCGUGCUUAACACAUGCAAGUCGAGCGGAAAGGCCCUUCGGGGUACUCGAGCGGCGAACGGGUGAGUAACACGUGGGUAACCUGCCCCUUGCUCUGGGAUAACUCCGGGAAACCGGGGCUAAUACCGGAUAUGACACUCGCAGGCAUCUGCUGGGUGUGGAAAGUUUUUCGGCGAGGGAUGGGCCCGCGGCCUAUCAGCUUGUUGGUGGGGUGAUGGCCUACCAAGGCGGUGACGGGUA